UACGUAGGGUGCGAGCGUUAAUCGGAAUUACUGGGCGUAAAGUGUGCGCAGGCGGCUCUGCAAGUCGAGUGUGAAAUCCCCGGGCUCAACCUGGGAAUGGCAUUUGGGACUGCAAGGCUGGAGUGCGGCAGAGGAGACUGGAAUUCCUGGUGUAGCAGUGAAAUGCGUAGAUAUCAGGAGGAAUACCGAUGGCGAAGGCAGGUCUCUGGGCUGACACUGACGCUCAUGCACGAAAGCGUGGGGAGCAAACAGG
RNAcentral lists this ribosomal RNA (253 nucleotides) under uncultured bacterium. Its description in RNAcentral is "partial 16S ribosomal RNA". It matches the Rfam family "Bacterial small subunit ribosomal RNA", at positions 524 to 776 of the family's 1533-position model. The record is from RNAcentral.